This is a non-coding RNA of Vicia faba (fava bean), 225 nucleotides long. NCBI's taxonomy places the organism in Eukaryota, Viridiplantae, Streptophyta, Magnoliopsida, Fabales, Fabaceae. The record is from the annotation of a GenBank genome assembly.
AUGACGCCACUGAUCGCACCUGACCAGAAUGGAUCGUCAAGACCUUACGUCGAGCUGAAGUUGAAAGCGAGAUGGGAGAUACCUGCAAGACACUCUGAUGUCAAAGGUCGUGGAGCUGAUGAAAGAAGAGCUGAGAAGAAAAAGAGAAAGAACAACAGCCGUGGAGCUGAUGAAAGAAGAGAUGAGAAGAAUGAGAGUUUCAAGAACAAGGGGCGAGAAGAAUGA